Leopardus geoffroyi (Geoffroy's cat) is the source of this 2886-nucleotide long non-coding RNA. RefSeq lists it as uncharacterized. NCBI's taxonomy places the organism in Eukaryota, Metazoa, Chordata, Mammalia, Carnivora, Felidae. The record is from RefSeq and is a predicted model, not a curated record. The transcript has 3 exons.
UGCAGAGCCGGGAGCCCCACACAGAAGCCCUGAUCAAUCCAAGACGGUCAUGAAGACCUCAAAAAGCCUGCCUAUGUUAAGAGAUAUGUCUUGUAGAGAGGCAUCCACAUAUGUGGAAACUGAGUUUCAAAGGGUCCCUGAAGGCCAAGGGACUCAUCAGAACAGUGUUGCCUGCGGCCACUACUAAGAAAUGCUGCAGCGGGGAUGGAAACUCCUUCCUACAGAGGAACGGCUCCCUUAACGUCCUGGAGGCCUCCCUGCUUUUCCGUCUUCACCCAAGGCACCUACCACUCACUGCUCCCACCAAUAACCAGGCAACUGCUCUCAUUCAAGGCCUGAGGAUUUCUGUCUUUAACUUCUGGAAUAGACUCUGACCUGAUUUCUCCGCCUCAUCCACACAAAAGCCUGAAGGAACUUGCAAGUGUAUGAAUCUGAUCAAGUCAUUCUGCUUCUUAAAACUUUUGUGUGUCUCUGACGCCUUUGGAGGUAAGGUCUGCUGUUGGUUUGGCAUUCAAGGCCCCCCCUGGCUGCAGGAGCCCGCCUCAUGCCCCGGGCCUCCCCAUCUGUACUCACCCAGAAUGGGCACACUGCCUCACACCUCUUUAUGCCUUUCUGUGGGAACUUCCCCUGCGUGUGCCUGCCAGGCAGUCCUGAUUCACCUUUGUGAUCUCCGGCAUCUUCCUUUUAUCCCUGGAGUCUUUCCGGAGAACACCCACCACAGUCGGUCUCCCCCACCAUGAGCAGUGGAGUGACUCUCCAUCUUGUACCACUUAUUCCUAUUAUAUCUCCCACUCCCCUGUAAUAUUUGUUUCCUUCAUUUUCAAGGGAGGAGAUAUCUUCCCCCAAGGGGGAGAGAAGUAGUUCCUGGAGGAGAGGCUGGAAAAAAACGUACUCUUUUUAUUAUAAAACACUGAUAUGCAUACAAUUCAUAAAUAUAUACAGAGUGUAUCUGUGGUAUUAAAAUUUCACAGAGGGCAGGGGACGAAGAGGAAAAAAUGUCUAAGAAGGCUCCUUAGAGGCCAAUAAUGAAAAAUAGGUUGAGAAAUACAGAACUGAUUUAUUCAUACAUCUUUCUUACCAAUUGGACUGUGAGCCCUUUGUGAGUCCCCAGAGCUGAUAGAAUGUUUUGAAUACAUGUGUAAUGUUAAAAGCUGAAGGCAUGUGUACUUGAAUGAAUUCUCCCAGUAAUCCUUUGGGGUGGCAUUACUGUCCCACUGGGGGAAGAUUAGGAAACAGGUGCUAAGUGCCCCUUCCCCACCUCCACUACCAAAGUUCCAGAGUUAUUAAGGGUAAAGUAGAAACAUUUUAAAUUAAGGAAUUCUAGAGUCCAAAUCUAAUGUUCUUUUAUACUUUAGUAUAAUUGAGAUAAUUUACACAAAAACGGGAAAAUGUGUUUCCCAAUUUGCCUUCAGCAUCCAAAAAUGCUCUGGUUGGAAUAUCCUAAACCAAUUUGAGCACCCAAGAACAACCUUGGCAAAUCAAACCUGUGGUCUUGCAGACUCAAGCAAAGAUGCCCCAGCCCUUGGCUGGGUUUGGGUGAGGAUGGUGGCCUUCACCUGACUCCCGAGAAUCCAAGGUAUAAUCAAGUGGAGACGACACCACCCACGUACUUUGUAACCCUGAGCCUUGCAAUUGAUCUAAUUAAAUUAAUUUUUAAAAAAUCCAGCCUUGAGCCUCUCCAGUGUAUUGAACUGAGCAGCGUAAGGGGCUACUUUGCCCUCAAGAGGCAGGGGUGGUGGAAUGAGAAAGAAUACACACAAUUGUAAUGCAAGAUUCAACAAGAUGACGGUCACGAGAGAGACAGGCAACUCUAAGCCAGGAGAUGAUCUACAAUGGGAAAUAAUGAGGAUGGAGAUGUUAUUAAUAAAGAUGCUUUCCUGUUGACAGCAAAGUGCAACAUCUAUAAAAUGGUUUUAUGAGUAAAUUUGCUGAAGCAGGAAGAGCUUAGUAGUUCAGACCAGUGUUUUAUUCUUUCCAAGGUCAAGAUGAGGUUUGAAAUUGGAUUUACGGGGCUGUUUGUUCAAUCAAACUCCUGAGCUUAUGAGCAGUGGAAAAUCCUUGCUGAAUGACAGUUCAUCUGCCUGAGAUGAAACCUUUUGCUUUUAAACAUAAAUACUUCAUCCAUACAGAAAAAGUGCACUGAUCAUAAGUGUACAGGUCAAUGAAUUUGCACAAAAAGACCAAACCCUUGUUAACAACCACCCAGAUGAAGAAAUAGAACAUUAUUGCAUCCUAAAAGCCAUCUUAGUUACCAUAGAUUAGUUUUGCCUUUUUUGAACUUUAAAGAAAUGGAAUCUUACAAUAUAUACUCCAUGUGUCUGAUUUCUUUUGGUCAACAAUAUGUCUGUGAGCUUCAUCCAGAGUGUUGUAAGUAGCAAUAAUUUGCUCAUUCUCAUUGCUGAAAGAAUUUCAUUGUGUGGACAUACUACAUUUAUUUCCCAACUCUACUGUUGGUGAACAUUUGGAUUGUUUCCACUUUUUGGUCAUUAUGUAUGCCGCUACUAUGAAUAUUUUUCCUACAUGUCUUUUGACAAGCAUAUGUACUGAUACAUACCUAGGAGUAGAAGUACCAGUUGAUAAGGUAUACAUAUGUCCCGAUUUAGUCAAUUUUGCUAAAUACAUUUGAAAAGUAGUUGUAUCAACUGUAUACUACCACUGUAUAAUAAUAGUGUGCAAGAGUUCCAAAUAUUCCAAAUGUUCUCCAGUACUUGGUGUUGAAUAUCUUUUUCAUUUUGGCCAUUCUGGUGUCUAUUUCUGAAGCUCAUGAUUUUAAUUUGCAUUCUCCUAAUGACUAAUGUAGUUAGGCAUCUAUUCAUAUGUUUACUCGCCUUUUGGAUUUUCUUUUUUGUAAACUACUUUUUCAAAUAUAUUGUAUAUUUGUCUGUA